Long non-coding RNA from Strongylocentrotus purpuratus (purple sea urchin), 1222 nucleotides. RefSeq lists it as uncharacterized. The record is from RefSeq and is a predicted model, not a curated record. The transcript is spliced from 2 exons. NCBI's taxonomy places the organism in Eukaryota, Metazoa, Echinodermata, Echinoidea, Camarodonta, Strongylocentrotidae.
UUUUCUGAAAAAUAGAUGUGCUCUCUUCAUAACAAAUAUAUGUAUCUCUGUUUUAAAUCCUAGGUUGCAAAAUAAAGAGCUAUGGCAUCUGCAUGUACUGCUAGUUCAUGACAAAUGAACAUUUAUUGUCCAUCUCUUCAAAUUGAAAAGACUGCAGAGCCUGAAUUACCUGCCACGUUAUGCUUCUUAUGAAACAUCAGCCAGCCUACAAAUAGAAGCUCCCUUUUCCAGCUUUAAGCAAGAGGAACCACAAUGGGAUACAGAUCUUGGUAUCAUGGACUGGUCACUUUUUACAACCAACACUACUUGUAAAAUAAGAUUUACAAAUUAAUUCCUAUAAGCUAUUAAAAAUGCUCUGGUCAAGGUACUAAAAUUUUGCCAUCGAGUUUGAGGUUUUGGGUUUGAUAAAAUGUUAACAUAAAAUAUUUUAAAGGAAGUAAACGUUUUAAUGAUACUUCCAAGAUUUCCUAUAUUUUAAACAGAAUUUCAGAAUCUUGCAGAAGAAAAGAGAAGAAAUAAAAGCUAUUAUUCUGUCAUGGAGGUUAUUGUUACCAAACUCACAUUACAUAGAUAAUUUUGUUCAUGGCAAUAAAUCUUAAAAUAUCAAAUUGGAAUUUCUUAAUUAGCAAUUCAUCUGAGCAGCAGUUUGAUGACCUAUUUGGAACUCUUCCUAGAGGCACUUCUUGCAUGACUAUGUAUCGAUAAUUACCUGUUGGUGCUUAAAGUGCUAUUGUAGCAAUUGCACAACAACAAAUACAAAAUAAACAACAGAACAUUGUGAUUGAGUGAAAACAGAUUUUUCCUGCAGGAAAUAUAUUAACUCUUACUUAUGUUGUCCUUAUAAUUUUUUGUCAAAGCUGAUAGAAAGGAAUUGAUGAUUAAUUUCAUAUAGACAAACUAUUGCAUCAAGAAACCACAUUCUCACCGACUGCGUGACCUUACAUGACGAUGUAUAUGAUCCUUAGAUUAACAACCGUAUGAGUAACAGAAAUAUUUGUGACAAGUAUUACUCUUUUAAUCUCCAUAAAGGUAACUCGAAUAGAGAGUGGCAGAUAUCAGCUGCAGUAGUUUUAACAACUGGCUGAUACUUUCAUAGGAGCACUUUUAUUUGUGUCAUUUAAAAUAUUGUAAUUGUAUCCCUUGAAUGUGUUUGCUAUGCUCAUCAUUUACAAAAUGUAGAUUUCAUUCAUUAAAGCAUAAACAUAUUGAUUAUACUUUAAAA